AUUGAACGCUGGCGGCAUGCCUUACACAUGCAAGUCGAACGGCAGCACGGGUGCUUGCACCUGGUGGCGAGUGGCGAACGGGUGAGUAAUACAUCGGAACAUGUCCGUUAGUGGGGGAUAGCCCGGCGAAAGCCGGAUUAAUACCGCAUACGAUCUACGGAUGAAAGCGGGGGACCUUCGGUCCUCGCGCUAUAGGGUUGGCCGAUGGCUGAUUAGCUAGUUGGUGGGGUAAAGGCCUACCAAGGCGACGAUCAGUAGCUGGUCUGAGAGGACGACCAGCCACACUGGGACUGAGACACGGCCCAGACUCCUACGGGAGGCAGCAGUGGGGAAUUUUGGACAAUGGGCGAAAGCCUGAUCCAGCAAUGCCGCGUGUGUGAAGAAGGCCUUCGGGUUGUAAAGCACUUUUGUCCGGAAAGAAAUCCUUGGCUCUAAUACAGUCGGGGGAUGACGGUACCGGAAGAAUAAGCACCGGCUAACUACGUG
This 486-nucleotide ribosomal RNA is filed under the name uncultured bacterium. RNAcentral describes it as "partial 16S ribosomal RNA". It matches the Rfam family "Bacterial small subunit ribosomal RNA", at positions 30 to 507 of the family's 1533-position model. The record is from RNAcentral.